UUUUCAAAUUUAAAUGUUAAAUUUAAAUACGUGAAAAUGGUUAGACUUAGCAUCCCGUCCUUUUGGUCCGUAAGUAUUGUGGUGUCAUAAGUUCAUCAUAUUUUCACGUAUUU
Molecule: small RNA, 113 nt
Filed under: Arabidopsis thaliana (thale cress)
Lineage: Eukaryota; Viridiplantae; Streptophyta; Magnoliopsida; Brassicales; Brassicaceae
Description: ATSL236850
Source: RNAcentral